Molecule: long non-coding RNA, 1028 nt
Organism: Gasterosteus aculeatus aculeatus (three-spined stickleback)
Lineage: Eukaryota; Metazoa; Chordata; Actinopteri; Perciformes; Gasterosteidae
Source: Ensembl
CGCGAUACACCGACACAUCACAUCAUUCACAGCCGUACGGCUGCAGUCUGUCUGGACUCCUCACUUACCUUCAGCUCUGUUGAGUGCAGCAGAAGGCGUCUUCAUCUCCUCUUCACACUCCUGAGGCCUUACGGUUACUUUCUGCAAGUUUCUCUCUGGAAAACUUCAGUGUGUGUAGUUUGAAACUAACUGACUGAAUGUGCCACAGACAGUGUUUCUUAUGCUGAGGUGAACGGAGCUUAGAACAUGGAGCUUAGAACAUGGAGCAUAGAACAUGGAACAUGGAGCUUAGAACAUGGAACAUGGAGAAAUGUUCCAUCAUGAUGUCACGUCUCUAUGGUUACAGUGAAGGUAUCUUGAAUAUGGAAAUGAGCCUUUAAAGUAAACGUGUGUGUGGACGGUAUCUUGAAUAUGGAAAUGAGCCUUUAAAGUAAACGUGUGUGUGGACGGUGUAUCUGUAUUGAUGGAGCUCAUCCACUUCACAUGCUGCAUAAAACACUUUGCUCUGUUUGUUUUCUAUGACCCGUUCAUCUUGAUCUUGAAAGCAAACACUUUAAAGAAUAAAUAAAGAACGAUUUUUGAUUUUGGUCCAUUGUUUCAAGUCGGAAAUAUAUAAACUCUUGAAUCCGGGUCGUUAAACCUCCCGUUCGAGCCCUCUUGUCUGCAGUCGUUAUGCUAAGCUAACCAGCUACCGAUGCUAAACCGACACAUUUAAAACAAUACCAGUGUCUGAACCCAUACAUGAAAUUGAACAAUGAACAAUACCCUAAAUAUAGACAAAUAAAAACCACUUGGCUUCAAACUACAGCUUCGAAUUGUUUAACUUCAAACUAUGAACAAUAUAUGAAUUGUUUAAAGUUUACAGUAUUAUUGCAGUGUUUAUCUACCAACAGCCAGAAGAGUAGUUAAUUGGAAUUUGGGGAAUAUUAAUAAUUUAAUUUUAGAUUCAUGCUCAUUGUGCAGGAAGGACAGAUAUGUAACAUAUAUUGAAAAGCAUUUACGUUAGAUUGACCUUGUUUGUCUCAAAG